RNAcentral lists this unclassified non-coding RNA (1251 nucleotides) under Amphimedon queenslandica. RNAcentral's name for it is "uncharacterized LOC109585144, transcript variant X1". Lineage: Eukaryota; Metazoa; Porifera; Demospongiae; Haplosclerida; Niphatidae. The record is from RNAcentral.
UCCUCCAAUGCACAAUAAAGCAUAACAAGUACAACAUGGCGAGUCACAUGGACGAAAGCAUGACUGACGAGGAGCUGAGACAAGCUCUUAUUCAAUAUAAAAUAGACGCUGGGCCCAUUAACAAGUCAACUCGUCCACUAUACAUUGCAAAAUUGAGAGAAAAGCAGCCUCCUAUUCAAACACAGGGUAUGGGUGUGGCUAAACUUCCUGAACAUGAAGAUGAGAAACCAGUACCACUUGAUUUGUAUAAAUGUCUCUGGAAUCAACUGAAUGAUCCGUAUCACAUAGCAUCCGACACGGUCAUAAUGUUCAGCGAUGGCUGCAUUCUUUAUGUCUGUAGAGGGAUACUGGCCUCAAUUUGUAAAGGACUCAAAGUCUUGCUCUAUAAUCAGGAACCUCCGUAUCCAGUUCAACUUAUAGCUUCAAAUGGACUCCAACACAUUGUUUGGGUUCGUGGUAAUGAAUUCAUCUCCGACUUAAAAGAGAAAAUCAGUAUGCAGGAUCGCACUAUUUUACACAAUCAGCUUAAACUGUUUCACAACGAAACUGAGCUCCAAGACAAAGCAACUUUACGAUCACAAGGUAUAGCGAGUGGAUCGCUUAUAAGAGUCAUGGUCCUGUCGUUGGAGAUGGUCCAAACCCGCUCUCCUUUCUCUGUCCAGUGUCGCAUGGCUCAACCCUCUCCCUCUCUCUCCAUCACUCACUUUAAACUGGGUAUGGGCAUGGAAGGGAUUCUGCCCUUGGUACCUAACGGUUUACACAAUCCUCAGGUACCCAUUCCGCCUCAGGUCCAGCAUAUACUAUGCGUUCAUGAUGUCCCCAGUGGCCCGUUUACGCUGAUGGUGGGAUUCCUGUAUAAUGGUACAUUGCCUACUGUGACAGCACCAGGAACUGAAGCUGUAGUCUUGACUAUGUGCCUAUCACUUGGCAAGGCAUUCAAUCUACAUCCUUUCAUUAUUCAUUCCUCCUAUGAACUGAGAAAGAUAUUAAAACGUAAUUCAAUGCCCCAGCAGAUUCAGCAGGUAAAGAAAUGUGCAGAAGCCCUUGGAAUAGCUUCUCUAUUGGAGGAGACCUUACAAAACAUUUGAACGUUCUCUUUGAUCCCUUGCCCACUACUAUCGCUCUUUUGUUGUGGCGAUAAACGGGAAGUGAUUGACUCUCUGUGCUUAUAAUAUUACACGCAUGUAUGCUCUCAUUCAUUUAUCUCUUGUGUUUUAUUACAUUUAUUCAUGAUAUCUCUUAUAAUGUAAA